RNAcentral lists this ribosomal RNA (264 nucleotides) under Escherichia coli. RNAcentral describes it as "partial 16S ribosomal RNA". It matches the Rfam family "Bacterial small subunit ribosomal RNA", at positions 1 to 261 of the family's 1533-position model. The record is from RNAcentral. Lineage: Bacteria; Pseudomonadati; Pseudomonadota; Gammaproteobacteria; Enterobacterales; Enterobacteriaceae.
AAAUUGAAGAGUUUGAUCAUGGCUCAGAUUGAACGCUGGCGGCAGGCCUAACACAUGCAAGUCGAACGGUAACAGGAAACAGCUUGCUGUUUCGCUGACGAGUGGCGGACGGGUGAGUAAUGUCUGGGAAACUGCCCGAUGGAGGGGGAUAACUACUGGAAACGGUAGCUAAUACCGCAUAACGUCGCAAGACCAAAGAGGGGGACCUUCGGGCCUCUUGCCAUCGGAUGUGCCCAGAUGGGAUUAGCUAGUAGGUGGGGUAAC